This 200-nucleotide ribosomal RNA is filed under the name uncultured bacterium. RNAcentral's name for it is "partial 16S ribosomal RNA". It matches the Rfam family "Bacterial small subunit ribosomal RNA", at positions 8 to 222 of the family's 1533-position model. The record is from RNAcentral.
AGAGUUUGAUCAUGGCUCAGAAUCAACGCUGGCGGCGUGCCUAACACAUGCAAGUCGAACGAGAAAGUGGAGCAAUCCAUGAGUAAAGUGGCGCACGGGUGAGUAACACGUGACUAACCUACCUUGAAGUGGGGGAUAACCUCGGGAAACCGGGGCUAAUACCGCAUAAUCCCGAGAGGGCAAAGGAGCAAUUCGCUUUU